This 465-nucleotide ribosomal RNA is filed under the name uncultured bacterium. Its description in RNAcentral is "partial 16S ribosomal RNA". It matches the Rfam family "Bacterial small subunit ribosomal RNA", at positions 28 to 507 of the family's 1533-position model. The record is from RNAcentral.
GACGAACGCUGGCGGCGUGCUUAACACAUGCAAGUCGAACGGAAAGGCCCCCUUGUGGGGUACUCGAGUGGCGAACGGGUGAGUAACACGUGAGUAACCUACCCUUGACUUUGGGAUAACUUCAGGAAACUGGGGCUAAUACCGGAUAGGAGCUCCUGCUGCAUGGUGGGGGUUGGAAAGUUUCGGCGGUUGGGGAUGGACUCGCGGCUUAUCAGCUUGUUGGUGGGGUAGUGGCUCACCAAGGCUUUGACGGGUAGCCGGCCUGAGAGGGGGACCGGCCACAUUGGGACUGAGAUCCGGCCCAGACUCCUACGGGAGGCAGCAGUGGGGAAUAUUGCACAAUGGGCGGAAGCCUGAUGCAGCAACGCCGCGUGCGGGAUGACGGCCUUCGGGUUGUAAACCGCUUUCGCCUGUGACGAAGCGUGAGUGACGGUAAUGGGUAAAGAAGCACCGGCUAACUACGUG